Molecule: long non-coding RNA, 345 nt
Filed under: Setaria italica (foxtail millet)
Lineage: Eukaryota; Viridiplantae; Streptophyta; Magnoliopsida; Poales; Poaceae
Description: long non-coding RNA (SITA_LNC007096)
Source: RNAcentral
CAGCUUCUACGAAGCUGGUCUCCACCACAGGACUGCAUGUCCCAGGUCACAACAUAUUUCAUUUCACAGACACAUCGAUAUUGUCCCUUAUGUAUGACGAUGCCGAUGUUCAUGAAAUAUAUUGGCCAGACCCUGACAAUGGAGAGUAUGAGAAUAACCGGAAUCGGUAUAACAAUACAAGGUUUGGGGGUCUAGAUGAUACCGGAAACUUCUUUUCGAGUGAUUUGCCCAACCAGCAAGCACUCGUUGCCUCCGAUCAAGGUCUUGGCAUCAAAAGAAGGCUCACUCUGGAUCCUGAUGGCAAUCUCCGGCUCUACAGCUUGAACAGUUCAGAUGGGAGAUGGU